Molecule: ribosomal RNA, 1553 nt
Filed under: Escherichia coli O104:H4
Lineage: Bacteria; Pseudomonadati; Pseudomonadota; Gammaproteobacteria; Enterobacterales; Enterobacteriaceae
Description: bacterial SSU rRNA
Rfam family: Bacterial small subunit ribosomal RNA
Source: RNAcentral
AAAUUGAAGAGUUUGAUCAUGGCUCAGAUUGAACGCUGGCGGCAGGCCUAACACAUGCAAGUCGAACGGUAACAGGAAACAGCUUGCUGUUUCGCUGACGAGUGGCGGACGGGUGAGUAAUGUCUGGGAAACUGCCUGAUGGAGGGGGAUAACUACUGGAAACGGUAGCUAAUACCGCAUAACGUCGCAAGACCAAAGAGGGGGACCUUCGGGCCUCUUGCCAUCGGAUGUGCCCAGAUGGGAUUAGCUUGUUGGUGGGGUAACGGCUCACCAAGGCGACGAUCCCUAGCUGGUCUGAGAGGAUGACCAGCCACACUGGAACUGAGACACGGUCCAGACUCCUACGGGAGGCAGCAGUGGGGAAUAUUGCACAAUGGGCGCAAGCCUGAUGCAGCCAUGCCGCGUGUAUGAAGAAGGCCUUCGGGUUGUAAAGUACUUUCAGCGGGGAGGAAGGGAGUAAAGUUAAUACCUUUGCUCAUUGACGUUACCCGCAGAAGAAGCACCGGCUAACUCCGUGCCAGCAGCCGCGGUAAUACGGAGGGUGCAAGCGUUAAUCGGAAUUACUGGGCGUAAAGCGCACGCAGGCGGUUUGUUAAGUCAGAUGUGAAAUCCCCGGGCUCAACCUGGGAACUGCAUCUGAUACUGGCAAGCUUGAGUCUCGUAGAGGGGGGUAGAAUUCCAGGUGUAGCGGUGAAAUGCGUAGAGAUCUGGAGGAAUACCGGUGGCGAAGGCGGCCCCCUGGACGAAGACUGACGCUCAGGUGCGAAAGCGUGGGGAGCAAACAGGAUUAGAUACCCUGGUAGUCCACGCCGUAAACGAUGUCGACUUGGAGGUUGUGCCCUUGAGGCGUGGCUUCCGGAGCUAACGCGUUAAGUCGACCGCCUGGGGAGUACGGCCGCAAGGUUAAAACUCAAAUGAAUUGACGGGGCCCGCACAAGCGGUGGAGCAUGUGGUUUAAUUCGAUGCAACGCGAAGAACCUUACCUGGUCUUGACAUCCACGGAAGUUUUCAGAGAUGAGAAUGUGCCUUCGGGAACCGUGAGACAGGUGCUGCAUGGCUGUCGUCAGCUCGUGUUGUGAAAUGUUGGGUUAAGUCCCGCAACGAGCGCAACCCUUAUCCUUUGUUGCCAGCGGUCCGGCCGGGAACUCAAAGGAGACUGCCAGUGAUAAACUGGAGGAAGGUGGGGAUGACGUCAAGUCAUCAUGGCCCUUACGACCAGGGCUACACACGUGCUACAAUGGCGCAUACAAAGAGAAGCGACCUCGCGAGAGCAAGCGGACCUCAUAAAGUGCGUCGUAGUCCGGAUUGGAGUCUGCAACUCGACUCCAUGAAGUCGGAAUCGCUAGUAAUCGUGGAUCAGAAUGCCACGGUGAAUACGUUCCCGGGCCUUGUACACACCGCCCGUCACACCAUGGGAGUGGGUUGCAAAAGAAGUAGGUAGCUUAACCUUCGGGAGGGCGCUUACCACUUUGUGAUUCAUGACUGGGGUGAAGUCGUAACAAGGUAACCGUAGGGGAACCUGCGGUUGGAUCACCUCCUUACCUUAAAGAAGC